UGCCAGCAGCCGCGGUAAUACGAGGGGUGCAAGCGUUAAUCGGAAUUACUGGGCUUAAAGAGUUCGUAGGUGGUUGAAAAAGUUGGUGGUGAAAUCCCAGAGCUUAACCCUGGAACUGCCUUUAAAACUGUUAGUCUUGAGAUCGAGAGAGGUGAGUGGAAUUCCAAGUGUAGAGGUGAAAUUCGUAGAUAUUUGGAGGAACACCAGUGGCGAAGGCGGCUCACUGGCUCGAUACUGACGCUGGGGUGCGAAAGUGUGGGGAGCAAACAGGAUUAGAUA
Molecule: ribosomal RNA, 279 nt
Filed under: uncultured bacterium
Lineage: Bacteria
Description: partial 16S ribosomal RNA
Rfam family: Bacterial small subunit ribosomal RNA
Source: RNAcentral